GCUGCAGUUGUUGAAGUCAUGGUGGGGAACUCUAGUUCAAGCAAUUGUUCUUCAGGGAAACUUUUUACUUGGGGAGAUGGGGAUAAAGGUCGACUUGGGCAUGGUGACAAGGAGUCAAAACUUGUUCCUACUUGUGUUGCAGCUCUUGUUGAACCCAAUUUUUGCCAGGUUACUUGUGGACAUAGCUUGACAGUUGCUUUAACCACUUCAGGUCAUGUAUAUACAAUGGGAAGUCCUGUAUAUGGUCAAU
Molecule: unclassified non-coding RNA, 250 nt
Filed under: Hevea brasiliensis (rubber tree)
Lineage: Eukaryota; Viridiplantae; Streptophyta; Magnoliopsida; Malpighiales; Euphorbiaceae
Source: RNAcentral